Long non-coding RNA from Mastomys coucha (southern multimammate mouse), 1045 nucleotides. RefSeq lists it as uncharacterized. The transcript is spliced from 6 exons. Lineage: Eukaryota; Metazoa; Chordata; Mammalia; Rodentia; Muridae. The record is from RefSeq and is a predicted model, not a curated record.
ACCUACUCUUUGAAACUGGUCCUCAUUAUCCAGGGUUCUGUCAUAUGGAGCUUGUGAUUUCCCCUAGGAAAUGAGAAUGGACAGAUGCUGAAAUCCUAAAUUCAGCUUCAGCAUUGAAGACAAACAAGAAUCUAACACAAGUGGCCUUUGCUUCAUAAAGAAGUUUUGACCCAAAGAACUUUUAUCAAUUAAUAUGAACGUGCUAUAAUGGAGAUAGUUUCUGGUAAGAGGAGAUUGUUGGCUAAUUGAAGACUCCUAAGGAACAAUGUUUGAUAUGAGACAGAAAAAGAAAGAUGUGAAGUUAUGAAGCUGGGAUGAAGGAAAGACUAAAAUUAAAGUGUCGUAAUCUCCCAUCUUUACAAAUGAAGAAAGCAAAACUCCGAAGGAGUCUCAACAAACCUGCAGAGAAGAUCAUAAGGAGGUGGAGCCACAGAGGGGUUGAUUUGAGAGCAAAAGAAUAUUAAUUAUCAGAGCCUAAAACAAUGAGUCCAAGAGUUGUAGACAUGAACCCAGCAUAACUGUCAUCAGAGAGGCUUCACCCAGCAACUGAUGGAAACAGAUGCAGAGACCCACAGCCAAAUAUUAGAUAAGAGUUUGGAGGAUCCUAUAGAAGACAAGGAGGAAAGAUUGAAGAAACCUGAGAAGUCAAGGACACCCAAAGAAAACCUACAGAGUCAACUAACCUGGACCCAUGGGAGCUCAUAGAGACUAAACCACCAACAAGAGAGCAGGCAUGAGACAGGCCUAUGCCCUGCACAUAUGUAAGGUUGUGUAGCUGGGCCUUCUUGUGGGACUUCUCUACCUCUGUGACUGAGGACUAUUUUUGACUAUGUUGCUUUCCUUUGUAUCUCUUUCCCCUAUCUGGACUGCCUUGUUUAUCCUCAACAGGAGGAUACUUAGUCUUAUUGCAACUUGUUAUCCUAAGGCUGGUUGAUACCCAUUGGAGGCCUCCCUUUUUCUGAGUAGAAAGGCAGGGGGAAGGUGGAUAGAAUGGGAGGAGAGAGUAGAGGGAGGGACUGGGAGAAGAGGGGGAGGGGGAAAAGGU